CCUACGGGAUGCAGCAGUAGGGAAUAUUGCACAAUGGGGGAAACCCUGAUGCAGCGACGCCGCGUGAGUGAGGAAGUAUUUCGGUAUGUAAAGCUCUAUCAGCAGGGAAGAAAAUGACGGUACCUGACUAAGAAGCCCCGGCUAACUACGUGCCAGCAGCCGCGGUAAUACGUAGGGGGCAAGCGUUAUCCGGAUUUACUGGGUGUAAAGGGAGCGUAGACGGCAGCACAAGUCUGAAGUGAAAUGCCGGGGCUUAACCCCGGAACUGCUUUGGAAACUGUGCAGCUAGAGUGCAGGAGAGGUAAGUGGAAUUCCUAGUGUAGCGGUGAAAUGCGUAGAUAUUAGGAGGAACACCAGUGGCGAAGGCGGCUUACUGGACUGUAACUGACGUUGAGGCUCGAAAGCGUGGGGAGCAAACAGGAUUAGAUACCCCAGUAGUC
This 440-nucleotide ribosomal RNA is filed under the name uncultured bacterium. Its description in RNAcentral is "partial 16S ribosomal RNA". It matches the Rfam family "Bacterial small subunit ribosomal RNA", at positions 338 to 795 of the family's 1533-position model. The record is from RNAcentral.